UGGGGAAUUUUGGACAAUGGGCGCAAGCCUGAUCCAGCCAUGCCGCGUGUGUGAAGAAGGCCUUCGGGUUGUAAAGCACUUUCGGCCGGAACGAAAUCGCCUCCGUUAAUAGCGGGGGUGGAUGACGGUACCGGAAGAAGAAGCACCGGCUAACUACGUGCCAGCAGCCGCGGUAAUACGUAGGGUGCGAGCGUUAAUCGGAAUUACUGGGCGUAAAGCGCGCGUAGGUGGUUUAUUAAGUUAGAUGUGAAAUACCUGGGCUUAACCUGGGUUGGUCAUCUAAUACUGGUAAGCUAGAGUACAGGAGAGGGAAGUGGAAUUUCCGGUGUAGCGGUGAAAUGCGUAGAUAUCUGGAGGAACACCGGUGGCGAAGGCGACAUCCUGGACCAAUUCUGACGCUGAGGAGCGAAAGCCAGGGGAGCAAACGGGAUUAGAUACCCCCGUAGUCCCUGAGCGGGCUGGCAAGGCGCAU
RNAcentral lists this ribosomal RNA (472 nucleotides) under uncultured bacterium. Its description in RNAcentral is "bacterial SSU rRNA". It matches the Rfam family "Bacterial small subunit ribosomal RNA", at positions 355 to 825 of the family's 1533-position model. The record is from RNAcentral.